GACGAACGCUGGCGGCGUGCUUAACACAUGCAAGUCGAACGGAAAGGCCCUGCUUUUGUGGGGUGCUCGAGUGGCGAACGGGUGAGUAACACGUGAGUAACCUGUCCUUGACUUUGGGAUAACUUCAGGAAACUGGGGCUAAUACCGGAUAGGAGCUCCUGCUGCAUGGUGGGGGUUGGAAAGUUUCGGCGGUUGGGGAUGGACUCGCGGCUUAUCAGCUUGUUGGUGGGGUAGUGGCUUACCAAGGCUUUGACGGGUAGCCGGCCUGAGAGGGUGACCGGCCACAUUGGGACUGAGAUACGGCCCAGACUCCUACGGGAGGGAGCAGUAGGGAAUAUUGCACAAUGGGCGGAAGCCUGAUGCAGCAACGCCGCGUGCGGGAUGACGGCCUUCGGGUUGUAAACCGCUUUCGCCUGUGACGAAGCGUGAGUGACGGUAAUGGGUAAAGGAGCACCGGCUAACUACGU
Molecule: ribosomal RNA, 467 nt
Filed under: uncultured bacterium
Lineage: Bacteria
Description: partial 16S ribosomal RNA
Rfam family: Bacterial small subunit ribosomal RNA
Source: RNAcentral